CCGGAAUUAUUGGGCGUAAAGCGUCCGCAGGUGGUUAUGCAAGUCUGUCAUUAAAUACCGACACUCAAUAUCGGAAUAGUGAUGGAAACUGUGUAACUAGAGGAUGGGAGAGGUAUAUGGAAUUGUGCAAGUAGGGGUAAAAUCCGUAGAUAUGCACAGGAACACCAAAAGCGAAGGCAAUAUACUGGACCAUUCCUGACACUCAGGGACGAAAGCGUGGGGAGCAAAACGGAUUAGAUACCCGUGUAGUCCACGCCGUAAACGAUGCGUGCUCGGUGUUGGGACCCUCGACCUGGUCUCAGUGCCUUAGGUAACCCGGUAAGCACGCCGCCUGUGUACUACGAUCGCAAGAUUAAAACACAAAGGAAUAGACGGGGACCCACACAAGCGGUGGAUCGUGGGGUUUAAUUCGUCAAUAAGCGAUAAAUCUCACCCAGGCUUGACAUCUCUAUCAUACCUUGCAGAAAUGCAGGGGUCGGUUCGGCCGGAUAGAUGACAGGCGCUGCAUGGUUGUCGUCAGCUCGUGCCUUGAGGUGUUCGGUUAAGUCCGUGAACGAGCGCAACCCUCGUCGUGUGUUGUAUUUUCACACGAGACUGCCCUGCUCAACGGGGAGGAAGGUGGGGAUGACGUCAAAUCAGCAUGGCCCUUAUGCCUGGGGCCACACCCGCGAUACAAUGGCUGGUAUAAACUGAAGCGAUGCGGCAACGCGUAGCCAAUCGGAAAAAACCAGUCUCAGUUCGGAUUGGAGUCUGAAACUCGACUCCAUGAAGCUGGAAUCGCUAGUAACCGUGUAUCAGCUAUGGCACGGUGAAUAUGUUCCUGGGUCUUGUACUCACUGCCCGUCAAGGCAUGGGAGUUGGGGGCACCCAAAGUCUGCGAAAUAAUCGUGGCCUAAGGUGAAACCAAUGACUGAGCUUAAGUCGUAACAAGGUAACC
This 937-nucleotide ribosomal RNA is filed under the name uncultured bacterium. Its description in RNAcentral is "bacterial SSU rRNA". It matches the Rfam family "Bacterial small subunit ribosomal RNA", at positions 545 to 1501 of the family's 1533-position model. The record is from RNAcentral.